Molecule: transfer RNA, 63 nt
Filed under: Yangisunda tiani
Lineage: Eukaryota; Metazoa; Arthropoda; Insecta; Hemiptera; Cicadellidae
Also listed under: 1 other name
Description: tRNA-Asp
Source: RNAcentral
AAAGAUUUAGUUUAAUCAAAACAUUAAGUUGUCAAUUUAAAAUUAUUUAAUAAAUAAUCUUUU